RNAcentral lists this ribosomal RNA (250 nucleotides) under uncultured bacterium. RNAcentral describes it as "partial 16S ribosomal RNA". It matches the Rfam family "Bacterial small subunit ribosomal RNA", at positions 796 to 1041 of the family's 1533-position model. The record is from RNAcentral.
CUGGCAGUAAACGGUGCACGUUUGGUGUGGGAGGAUUCGACCCCUUCCGUGCCGGAGCUAACGCGUUAAACGUGCCGCCUGGGGAGUACGGUCGCAAGAUUAAAACUCAAAGAAAUUGACGGGGGCCCGCACAAGCGGUGGAGUAUGUGGCUUAAUUCGAUGCAACGCGAAGAACCUUACCUAGCCUUGACAUGCAUCUCUAAGUCGGUGAAAGCCGGCGAGUGUAGCAAUACACAAUUUGCACAGGUGC